RNAcentral lists this unclassified non-coding RNA (3431 nucleotides) under Pomacea canaliculata. Its description in RNAcentral is "calcium-transporting ATPase sarcoplasmic/endoplasmic reticulum type-like, transcript variant X4". Lineage: Eukaryota; Metazoa; Mollusca; Gastropoda; Architaenioglossa; Ampullariidae. The record is from RNAcentral.
GAUUUAAUGGGCGUCACGUCUGGUAAUGCAAGUACUAUCAUAGAUUCUCCUUCAAUCUUUUUUCUCUUCAAACCUCCGCCGGCGCACUAUAUACUCCAACACCAUUUUAUAUUUCUUCCUUGCUCCGUGAUAGAACAGUGAUCCUGCCGCAGCCGCGGAACUAUAGCGGCACUAGGCUCUUCGUUAACUCUUCCCCCCUUCGGGCGGACUCCAUCACUAGCUCUUCGAUUUUCACGGGCGUGAAAGGAGGUCCGCUCUGUGCUGGAGUACGGGAGAAACUAAGCUGGAACAAGUGUACUGGCUUAGUCUUUCGUCGACUGAAAACUGAUUUUUCCCUUUCAGGGGGAUACCAAAGACAACGGGGUCUUCUACAGCUUUGGGUUUCUGUAUGAAUCGGUGACAGGGAUUAGCUACUAGGCCGAACUACACUGUGCAAUGGAUCUAUCAUAUACCAAAACAACAGAAGAAGUCUUAGGUUAUUUCGGUGUCGACGAAAAUGUUGGACUUAAUGAAGAGCAAGUAAAGAAGAACUUAGAGAAAUAUGGACCAAACGAACUGCCGGCGGAGGAAGGCAAGCCGCUGUGGGAACUUAUUUUGGAGCAAUUCGACGAUCUGCUGGUCAAGAUUUUACUUUUAGCUGCGGUGAUUUCCUUCGUACUGGCAUGGUUUGAAGAAGAUACUGAACAAGUGACAGCAUUUGUGGAACCCUUUGUCAUCCUGACCAUCUUGAUCUGUAAUGCCAUUGUUGGAGUGUGGCAGGAACGAAAUGCAGAGAGUGCCAUUGAAGCCCUUAAAGAGUAUGAACCCGAAAUUGCCAAAGUCAUACGCAGUGGCAUCAAGGGUGUUCAGAAGAUCAAAGCCAGCAACCUGGUUCCUGGUGACAUUGUUGAGGUCUCUGUGGGUGACAAAGUGCCAGCUGACAUCAGAAUUAUCAAAAUCAACUCCACCACCCUGAGAGUGGAUCAGUCCAUUUUGACAGGAGAAAGUGUGAGUGUAAUGAAACACACCGACCCCAUCCCAGACCCAAGGGCUGUAAACCAAGACAAGAAGAACAUCCUUUUCUCGGGAACCAACAUAGCGGCAGGAAAAUGCAGAGGUGUUGUGAUUGGAACCGGCUUGGCCACAGAAAUUGGCAAGAUUCGCAAUGAAAUGAUGGAUACAGAGCAAGAGAAGACCCCUCUGCAGCAAAAAUUGGAUGAGUUCAGCAAUCAGCUGUCUAAGGUUAUCACAAUCAUCUGCAUAGCUGUUUGGGCCAUCAACAUUGGCCACUUCAAUGACCCUGCUCAUGGUGGAUCUUGGAUCAAGGGUGCCAUCUACUACUUCAAGAUUGCUGUUGCCUUGGCUGUAGCUGCCAUCCCCGAGGGUCUGCCUGCUGUGAUCACCACUUGUUUGGCUCUUGGCACACGUCGUAUGGCCAAAAAGAAUGCCAUUGUGCGUAGCUUGCCAUCUGUGGAGACCCUGGGUUGUACAUCUGUCAUCUGCUCAGACAAGACUGGAACCUUGACCACAAAUCAGAUGUCUGUGUGCAAAGCCUUUAUCUUCAGCCAGAUUGAUACGAACCAGAUCAAGACAACACAGUUUGAGAUCACUGGGUCUACAUAUGCCCCAGAAGGAGAACUGUACCAGAAUGGAAAAAAAGUAAAGUCCAGUGAGUUCCCAGGUUUGGAAGAGCUGUGCACUAUUUGUGCCAUGUGCAAUGAUUCAAGUGUUGAUUACAAUGAGGCCAAAGACCAGUAUGAGAAAGUAGGAGAGGCCACGGAGACUGCACUGACAGUUCUGGUGGAGAAACUCAAUUUCUACAACACCGACAAGUCUGGUCUUAACAAACGUGAAAUGGGCACAGUCUGCAACCACAUAAUCCAGGACAUGUGGAGGAAAGAGUUUACGCUGGAGUUUUCCCGUGACCGCAAGUCCAUGAGUGUGUAUUGUGUUCCUAACAAGCCCACUCGCGUACCUGGUGGUGCUCGCAUGUUUGCAAAGGGAGCUCCUGAAGGUCUGCUAGACCGCUGCACACACGUGCGCAUUGGCCACAACAAGGUGCCCAUGUCUCCUGCCAUCAAAAAUGAGAUCAUGAAGCUGACUAAAAUCUACGGUACAGGGCGUGACACACUGCGUUGCUUGGCACUGGCCACCAUUGACAAUCCUCCUCGCCGUGAAGACAUGGAUCUAGAAGACUCCCGCAAAUUCAUUGAGUAUGAGACCAACAUGACAUUUGUGGGAGUGGUAGGCAUGCUGGAUCCCCCUCGAGAAGAGGUCCAGGAGUCCAUUCGUCGUUGCCGUGAUGCUGGCAUUCGUGUCAUCGUCAUCACUGGUGACAACAAGGCUACUGCUGAAGCCAUUUGCCGCCGCAUUGGAAUCUUUACUGAAAAUGAAAACACAGAAGGCAUGUCUUACACUGGCCGUGAGUUUGAUGAGCUUUCUCCAGAAGACCAGCGAGCAGCAGUGAUGAGAGCACGUCUUUUUGCCCGAGUAGAGCCUGCACACAAGAGCAAGAUUGUGGAGUACUUACAAUCUGAGGGAGAGAUCUCAGCCAUGACAGGUGAUGGUGUGAACGAUGCUCCAGCACUCAGGAAGGCUGAGAUUGGUAUUGCCAUGGGAUCCGGAACAGCUGUGGCCAAAUCUGCUGCAGAGAUGGUGUUGGCAGACGAUAACUUUUCAACCAUUGUGUCAGCUGUAGAGGAGGGGCGAGCUAUUUACAACAACAUGAAACAGUUCAUUCGCUACUUGAUUUCCUCCAACAUUGGAGAAGUAGUUUGCAUUUUCCUCACAGCUGCCCUUGGCAUCCCAGAAGCUUUAAUUCCAGUGCAGCUUUUGUGGGUCAACUUGGUGACAGACGGAUUCCCAGCCACUGCCCUCGGAUUUAACCCCCCUGAUCUCGACAUUAUGAAAAAACCACCCCGCAAUCCUCGUGAAAGCCUUAUCACUGGCUGGCUUUUCUUCCGUUAUAUGGCCAUUGGAAUCUAUGUCGGUUGUGCCACCGUGGGAGCUGCAGCAUGGUGGUUCAUGUUGUAUGAUAAAGGCCCACGUCUUAACUACUACCAGCUAACACAUCAUAUGCAGUGUCCAGCUGAGCCUCGGAUGUUCAAGGGCGUCAACUGUGACAUCUUCCAGGCCCCAGAACCCAUGACUAUGGCACUAUCUGUUUUAGUAACCAUUGAAAUGCUAAACGCCUUAAACAGACCCAUCAGGCCCAGUGCUUGGCUCAGGACGAAAUGUUUGCCGGCAUCGAUUGUGAUGUGUUCAGCCACCCGAAGCCAAUGACUAUGGCCCUGUCGGUGCUUGUGGUCAUUGAGAUGCUCAACGCCUUGAACAGCUUGAGUGAGAAUCAGUCUCUGACGGUCAUGCCUCCUUGGAUUAACAAGUGGCUGGUGGGCGCCAUCUGUCUUUCCAUGAUUCUUCAUUUCCUCAUCCUUUAUGUCGAUGUCAUGUCC